This 1098-nucleotide ribosomal RNA is filed under the name Serratia sp. (in: enterobacteria). RNAcentral describes it as "bacterial SSU rRNA". It matches the Rfam family "Bacterial small subunit ribosomal RNA", at positions 363 to 1457 of the family's 1533-position model. The record is from RNAcentral. Lineage: Bacteria; Pseudomonadati; Pseudomonadota; Gammaproteobacteria; Enterobacterales; Yersiniaceae.
AUGCCACAAGGGGCGCAAGCCUGAUGCAGCCAUGCCGCGGAAGAAGGCCUUCCGGGUUGUAAAGCACUUUCAGCGAGGAGGAAGGGUUCAGUGUUAAUAGCACUGUUCAUUGACGUUACUCGCAGAAGAAGCACCGGCUAAUUCCGUGCCAGCAGCCGCGGUAAUACGGAGGGUGCAAGCGUUUAUUGGAAUUACUGGGCGUAAAGCGCACGCCGGCGGUUUGUUAAGUCAGAUGUGAAAUCCCCGCGCUUAACGUGGGAACUGCAUUUGAAACUGGCAAGCUAGAGUCUUGUAGAGGGGGGUAGAAUUCCAGGUGUAGCGGUGAAAUGCGUAGAGAUCUGGAGGAAUACCGGUGGCGAAGGCGGCCCCCUGGACAAAGACUGACGCUCAGGUGCGAAAGCGUGGGGAGCAAACAGGAUUAGAUACCCUGGUAGUCCACGCUGUAAACGAUGUCGACUUGGAGGUUGUGCCCUUGAGGCGUGGCUUCCGGAGCUAACGCGUUAAGUCGACCGCCUGGGGAGUACGGCCGCAAGGUUAAAACUCAAAUGAAUUGACGGGGGCCCGCACAAGCGGUGGAGCAUGUGGUUUAAUUCGAUGCAACGCGAAGAACCUUACCUACUCUUGACAUCCAGAGAAUUCGCUAGAGAUAGCUUAGUGCCUUCGGGAACUCUGAGACAGGUGCUGCAUGGCUGUCGUCAGCUCGUGUUGUGAAAUGUUGGGUUAAGUCCCGCAACGAGCGCAACCCUUAUCCUUUGUUGCCAGCACGUAAUGGUGGGAACUCAAAGGAGACUGCCGGUGAUAAACCGGAGGAAGGUGGGGAUGACGUCAAGUCAUCAUGGCCCUUACGAGUAGGGCUACACACGUGCUACAAUGGCGUAUACAAAGAGAAGCGAACUCGCGAGAGCAAGCGGACCUCAUAAAGUACGUCGUAGUCCGGAUCGGAGUCUGCAACUCGACUCCGUGAAGUCGGAAUCGCUAGUAAUCGUAGAUCAGAAUGCUACGGUGAAUACGUUCCCGGGCCUUGUACACACCGCCCGUCACACCAUGGGAGUGGGUUGCAAAAGAAGUAGGUAGCUUAACCUUCGGGAGGGCGCUACC